UACGGAGGGUGCAAGCGUUAUCCGGAUUCACUGGGUUUAAAGGGUGCGUAGGUGGGCAGGUAAGUCAGUGGUGAAAUCUCCGGGCUUAACCCGGAAACUGCAUUGAAUACUAUUCUGCUCGAGGUUUGGAGGGGGGACUGGAAUUCUCGGUGUAGCAGUGAAAUGCGUAGAUAUCGAGAGGAACACCAGUGGCGAAGGCGAGUCCCUGGACAACACCUGACACUGAGGCACGAAAGCUAGGGGAGCAAACAGG
This 253-nucleotide ribosomal RNA is filed under the name uncultured bacterium. RNAcentral describes it as "partial 16S ribosomal RNA". It matches the Rfam family "Bacterial small subunit ribosomal RNA", at positions 524 to 776 of the family's 1533-position model. The record is from RNAcentral.